UACAAGUGUAGAUGCCGACGCAGCACUCGAAGCCCAUGUUUGCAGCAGUGAGGAUAUUGUACAGUGUGUGUUGUUCACCAUGGUAAGUCGAGAUCGUAUCAUGGGUCGCAACUUUAAGAGGAAGUCGCUUCCAAAUAACAGAACAAUUGAACGUUCCCUCCCAUAUCGUUCCCCACUUCGUCCACCACAAUGUUGAACUUGGAAUCGAGGUUUGCAAUCUCCCUCUUCACAUUAUCACUCAACUUCCCUUUUGCUUUGUUGGCACGCAACUCUAACACCGCCUCCUGCAGUUUCUGACGUUUGUUUGGAACGAACUCCGGACUGUGGGAGCAAUUUUGUUAUAUGGUCCUGUUCACACAUUGAUGAAAAUACCUGUAUUGCUGUAUAAGAAGUCAAAACAGUAAAUUAACAGACUACACAAAUAAAUGUCAGAAGAGCUGUUUUACAAAACAAGUUACUCAUCCACAACAGACC
This is a non-coding RNA of Ciona intestinalis (vase tunicate), 474 nucleotides long. The record is from RefSeq and is a predicted model, not a curated record. NCBI's taxonomy places the organism in Eukaryota, Metazoa, Chordata, Ascidiacea, Phlebobranchia, Cionidae.